GGCGGGUCUGAGCACAGUGGUGUUUACCAUUGUGGUCCAUUGACCACAGCCAUCUACAGAUUUCUUUGUUCUUUCUCUUCUCCCACUGCUACCCUCUACUAGUCUAAA
RNAcentral lists this Y RNA (108 nucleotides) under Suricata suricatta (meerkat). RNAcentral's name for it is "Y RNA (ENSSSUG00005001485.1)". It matches the Rfam family "Y RNA". From Rfam's summary of the family: Y RNAs are components of the Ro ribonucleoprotein particle (Ro RNP), in association with Ro60 and La proteins. The Y RNAs and Ro60 and La proteins are well conserved, but the function of the Ro RNP is not known. Lineage: Eukaryota; Metazoa; Chordata; Mammalia; Carnivora; Herpestidae. The record is from Rfam by way of RNAcentral.